GCCUGGGUAGCUCAGUCAGUUAAGUGUCUGAUUUUGGCUCAGGUCAUGAUCUCAUGGUUUGUGGGUUCAAGCCCCAUAUCAGGCU
This 85-nucleotide transfer RNA is filed under the name Felis catus (domestic cat). It matches the Rfam family "tRNA". Rfam says of the family: Transfer RNA (tRNA) molecules are approximately 80 nucleotides in length. Their secondary structure includes four short double-helical elements and three loops (D, anti-codon, and T loops). Lineage: Eukaryota; Metazoa; Chordata; Mammalia; Carnivora; Felidae. RNAcentral also lists the same sequence under 3 other names. The record is from Rfam by way of RNAcentral.